This is a long non-coding RNA of Anopheles stephensi (Asian malaria mosquito), 754 nucleotides long. RefSeq lists it as uncharacterized. The record is from RefSeq and is a predicted model, not a curated record. NCBI's taxonomy places the organism in Eukaryota, Metazoa, Arthropoda, Insecta, Diptera, Culicidae. The transcript is spliced from 2 exons.
AAAAAAUGUAUAUAACAAAUUGAAACACUUUGUACAAAAUAUGCCGUUCGCAUCGCAAAGUGAAUAGACGAGCCCUGUAUCGUUGAUCGCUGAUUUUUGGUCUGGCUGCACAUGGAGAAGGGGUAAGAGUUCAUGCGUGAUGCGAUUAGAAGAGGGGAGAGGUUGACGAAGCCAAUCGGCUUCGUUCUAUUCACUGUGUGAUUGUUGAUCCAAAUUUGUUCUCCGCCAAUAAAUGUUGCGGAAAAUUUUAUUAGGUUUCAAGUCGUGCGAUUUGUUUUGAGCAAUUUGUGCAGGCAAUGAUUUCGUCAAUAAAACAGGAUGCGGAUCUUUCGAUCGUCAUAGGGAUCGGCUCAGGAUAUGCCUUCAAAUACCGUUACUACAUUAACAUUCACAACGACCAUGUUCCGGACAAAAAUGGGGUCGACACUGGAGCAUUUCUUUGCCUGGUUCAGCUGCGCAAUAUGUACGUGAUGCAUUUUGCUUGUUCAUGUUUUUAUUACAGCUAACACUAUCGCACUGAGCGGCCAGGAUGGGCCUCCGGCUCGAAGGGAACAAUCGACACCAACAGGAGAUCGACUACACUGUGUGAACCAUCCUGCCCAGUGCAACCAGGCAACACAACAUUUCUCUUCAGCAACAGCACCAUCAUAAUCCGUGCUAGAAGCAACUCCAACUUGUUGUCGGGAGACUAAAAGAUGCAAAAUUGAUCUUAAAUAAAAGCAAACCAAUUUGUGUAGAAUGAUGAUUGAUCAAA